RNAcentral lists this small RNA (27 nucleotides) under Bombyx mori (domestic silkworm). RNAcentral's name for it is "piRNA piR-bmo-2103773". Lineage: Eukaryota; Metazoa; Arthropoda; Insecta; Lepidoptera; Bombycidae. The record is from RNAcentral.
AAACGCACUGAUUCGAGUGUAUCCGAC